CCUAAGUGACUCUACUCAAGCAUGACCCAACCCGAACCCGACCUGCAUAGGUAACGACAUUAAACCAAAUUUACCCAACCCAAGUUGACCUGACUCAUUCUCACCCAACCUAAACCUGACCCUUUUACCCGAAUUAACAGCUCUACCAUAGACUCUAAAUAUGGUAUGCGCAUUGUUUCGUAUUUUUGUAAUCUAAAUACGGUCUGCGUACCGUUAAAUAUUUUUGUAAUUUAUUUUAUUUUAUUUAAGUAGUAGAUAUAAUAGAAUAGUAUUACAGGUUGCAGUUGAUCCAAGAAGCCAAUGGAGUGAAGGCCCAAAGGAGCUAGACGGAUGAGAUCCAUGAAGAUGAAUAGCUUUAACGACAACAUUAAUUUUCCAACCAAACUGAAAACAAGGCUUAAUCUCAGAAACUUCAGGGAUUGGGAAGAAGAGCUAAGAAAUGUUCUUAGGAGCCAUAGACUUGAGGCUCGAUUUUACGUUCCCAUUUAGAGCAGAUUCACAAUGGGUUUCACUCCUGAUAAGCAUUCUAAAGAUGUUUCGGAUGCAGAGAAAAUCAAGGAACUCAUAUUGGCAUCUAUUCCAACUUGUCGGAAAAGAAGGUUCAAGGACUAUAAGUUGACCAAUCUGCACAAUUGUCUUCGUGCCAUCUGUCGAGGUAGCAUUGGGCAUUAGGAAGCGGAGGCAUCAACGAUGAGAAUGUAAGAGAGAUCGUUAACUCAAUCCCUCCAAUGUACUACUCCUGGACUGAUAAUGUAAGGUAUGAGACUUACAAUAUUCAUUGUAAGAUAAUGGCUAAAAAACUCAUUCCUGGUCAGUCAGUUAGAGACCAUGUGAAGGAACUGAUUGAUUCAUUCAAUCGGAUGAAUAUCUUAGGAUGACCAUUUGAUGAUGACUUCGCUCAUGACACUAUUCUGUUCUCACUCCAUGAUGGAUUUAAUCUAGUCAAGCUUAUUCAUGAUGAUGAAGGCUCGACAGUGACACUAGUCAACCUUUUGAUCAACCAUACAGAGGAGUACUUGAAGAAGGAGGGAAGCCAAUGCUUCUAUUGCGAUAGGUGGUCUUGCCACACGCUAGGGUGUCCCCAUUACACGCAAAUGAAAACGAAAGGGCUUGACAGAGUGUAGGAAGUUAGCUAAAGGGGAAGUCACACUUUAAGUAUGAAAUGGAGCAAAAGUUGCUGCACUUGCUAUUGGAAACUAUCAUUUGAUACUUCCGUCUGGUCUUAUUUUGGUGCUUAACAACUGUUAUUAUGUCCCUACUAUUACCAAGAACAUUAUUUCAGUUCCUGUUUUAGAUACUGAAGGUUUUUCUAUUGAAAUAAGAGACAAGAGCUGUUUUAUUUCAAAAGAAAAUAUGUUAUAUGCUAACGCAAA
Long non-coding RNA from Chenopodium quinoa (quinoa), 1373 nucleotides. RefSeq lists it as uncharacterized. The transcript is spliced from 3 exons. Lineage: Eukaryota; Viridiplantae; Streptophyta; Magnoliopsida; Caryophyllales; Amaranthaceae. The record is from RefSeq and is a predicted model, not a curated record.